GACGAACGCUGGCGGCGUGCUUAACACAUGCAAGUCGAACGGAAAGGCCCUGCUUGCAGGGUACUCGAGUGGCGAACGGGUGAGUAACACGUGGGUGAUCUGCCCUGCACUUCGGGAUAAGCUUGGGAAACUGGGUCUAAUACCGGAUAGGAGCCAUCUUUAGUGUGGUGGUUGGAAAGUUUUUUCGGUGUAGGAUGAGCUCGCGGCCUAUCAGCUUGUUGGUGGGGUAAUGGCCUACCAAGGCGGCGACGGGUAGCCGGCCUGAGAGGGUGUACGGCCACAUUGGGACUGAGAUACGGCCCAGACUCCUACGGGAGGCAGAAGUGGGGAAUAUUGCACAAUGGGCGCAAGCCUGAUGCAGAGACGCCGCGUGGGGGAUGAAGGCCUUCGGGUUGUAAACUCCUUUCGCUAGGGACGAAGCUUUUUUGUGACGGUACUUAGAUAAGAAGCACCGGCUAACUACGUG
RNAcentral lists this ribosomal RNA (466 nucleotides) under uncultured bacterium. RNAcentral's name for it is "partial 16S ribosomal RNA". It matches the Rfam family "Bacterial small subunit ribosomal RNA", at positions 28 to 507 of the family's 1533-position model. The record is from RNAcentral.